Molecule: ribosomal RNA, 467 nt
Filed under: uncultured bacterium
Lineage: Bacteria
Description: partial 16S ribosomal RNA
Rfam family: Bacterial small subunit ribosomal RNA
Source: RNAcentral
GACGAACGCUGGCGGCGUGCUUAACACAUGCAAGUCGAACGGAAAGGCCCUGCUUUUGUGGGGUGCUCGAGUGACGAACGGGUGAGUAACACGUGAGUAACCUGCCCUUGACUUUGGGAUAACUUCAGGAAACUGGGCUAAUACCGGAUAGGAGCUCCUGCUGCAUGGUGGGGGUUGGAAAGUUUCGGCGGUUGGGGAUGGACUCGCGGCUUAUCAGCUUGUUGGUGGGGUAGUGGCUUACCAAGGCUUUGACGGGUAGCCGGCCUGAGAGGGUGACCGGCCACAUUGGGACUGAGAUACGGCCCAGACUCCUACGGGAGGCAGCAGUGGGGAAUAUUGCACAAUGGGCGGAAGCCUGAUGCAGCAACGCCGCGUGCGGGAUGACGGCCUUCGGGUUGUAAACCGCUUUCGCCUGUGACGAAGCGUGAGUGACGGUAAUGGGUAAAGAAGCACCGGCUAACUACGUG